UACGAAGGGCGCGGGUGUUAUUCGUUUUGAUUGGGUGUAAAGGGUACGUAGGUGGCUUCAACGUUGGUUGGCUGAAAGAGCGGAGUGUUCCUACGCUGUAGCCCUGCAAACACGAAGCUUGAGUCGGGUAGAGGUCUGAUCAAUUUCUUAUGUAGGAGUAAAAUCCCCCAAUAUGAGAACGAAGGCCAGCUGGAGAAAUCGUCUUUCUAUGCCCCUCUGACGCUAAGGUACGGAAGCUUGGGGAGCAAACGGG
Molecule: ribosomal RNA, 253 nt
Filed under: uncultured bacterium
Lineage: Bacteria
Description: partial 16S ribosomal RNA
Rfam family: Bacterial small subunit ribosomal RNA
Source: RNAcentral